UCGAACUAUAGAGUUUGAUCCUGGCUCAGAUUGAACGCUGGCGGCAUGCCUUACACAUGCAAGUCGAACGGCAGCACGGGAGCAAUCCUGGUGGCGAGUGGCGAACGGGUGAGUAAUAUAUCGGAACGUGCCCAGUCGUGGGGGAUAACGUAGCGAAAGCUACGCUAAUACCGCAUACGAUCUACGGAUGAAAGCGGGGGAUCGCAAGACCUCGCGCGAUUGGAGCGGCCGAUAUCAGAUUAGCUAGUUGGUGGGGUAAAAGCCCACCAAGGCUACGAUCUGUAGCUGGUCUGAGAGGACGACCAGCCACACUGGAACUGAGACACGGUCCAGACUCCUACGGGAGGCAGCAGUGGGGAAUUUUGGACAAUGGGCGAAAGCCUGAUCCAGCAAUGCCGCGUGCAGGACGAAGGCCUUCGGGUUGUAAACUGCUUUUGUACGGAACGAAACGGCCCUUUCUAAUAAAGGGGGCUAAUGACGGUACCGUAAGAAUAAGCACCGGCUAACUACGUGCCAGCAGCCGCGGUAAUACGUAGGGUGCGAGCGUUAAUCGGAAUUACUGGGCGUAAAGCGUGCGCAGGCGGUUAUAUAAGACAGAUGUGAA
This 604-nucleotide ribosomal RNA is filed under the name Candidatus Electronema aureum. Its description in RNAcentral is "bacterial SSU rRNA". It matches the Rfam family "Bacterial small subunit ribosomal RNA", at positions 1 to 598 of the family's 1533-position model. The record is from RNAcentral. Lineage: Bacteria; Pseudomonadati; Thermodesulfobacteriota; Desulfobulbia; Desulfobulbales; Desulfobulbaceae.